CCUACGGGAGGCAGCAGUGGGGGAUAUUGCACAAUGGGGGGAACCCUGAUGCAGCGACGCCGCGUGGGUGAAGGAGUGCUUCGGCAUGUAAAGCCCUAUCGGCAGGGAAGAAGCAAGACGGUACCUGACUAAGAAGCACCGGCUAACUACGUGCCAGAAGCCGCGGUAAUACGUAGGGGGCGAGCGUUAUCCGGAUUCACUGGGUGUAAAGGGAGCGUAGACGGCCAUGCAAGCCAGGGGUGAAAGACCGGGGCCCAACCCCGGGACUGCCCUUGGAACUGUGCGGCUAGAGUGCGGGUGGGGCAGGCGGAAGUACUGGUGUAGCGGUGAAAUGCGUAGAUAUCAGGAGGAACACCGGCGGCGAAGGCGGCCUGCUGGACUGCGACUGACGUUGAGGCUCGAAAGCGUGGGGAGCGAACAGGAUUAGAUACCCGUGUAGUC
RNAcentral lists this ribosomal RNA (441 nucleotides) under uncultured bacterium. Its description in RNAcentral is "partial 16S ribosomal RNA". It matches the Rfam family "Bacterial small subunit ribosomal RNA", at positions 338 to 795 of the family's 1533-position model. The record is from RNAcentral.